UACGAAGGGGCUAGCGUUGUUCGGAAUCACUGGGCGUAAAGAGCGCGUAGGCGGCUUAGUUAGUCAGAGGUGAAAGCCCAGGGCUCAACCCUGGAACUGCCUUUGAUACUCCUAAGCUAGAAUCCGUGAGAGGGUGGUGGAAUAUCCAGUGUAGAGGUGAAAUUCGUAGAUAUUGGAUGGAACACCAGUGGCGAAGGCGGCCACCUGGCGCGGUAUUGACGCUGAGGCGCGAAAGCGUGGGGAGCAAACAGG
Molecule: ribosomal RNA, 252 nt
Filed under: uncultured bacterium
Lineage: Bacteria
Description: partial 16S ribosomal RNA
Rfam family: Bacterial small subunit ribosomal RNA
Source: RNAcentral